CUGGACCAUUCAUUAUAAAUACCAAAAUUGGAUUGAUACAGAGAAUAUUAGCAUAUCCCCUAUGCAAAUAUGACAUGCAAAGUUCUGAAUCAUUCCUUUUUUUU
This is a small nuclear RNA of Antechinus flavipes (yellow-footed antechinus), 104 nucleotides long. The record is from RefSeq and is a predicted model, not a curated record. Lineage: Eukaryota; Metazoa; Chordata; Mammalia; Dasyuromorphia; Dasyuridae.